GAGGGGUGGGCACGGGAGGAGGGUGGGGGUGUUUGAGUCACAGAUGCUCCUCUGAAUCUUAACGUUAGGGCGUUCAUUCUCCAGUGGGACCGGUUAUUGACUGCAGAGAAUGCAAACAAAAGGCACAGGUUGCAAAGAAAAAGACAAAGAUCCAGCACCCUGGAGGCUGAAGGGGUACCUUGGUCACAGCCGGGGCUGCUCCAGGGAUUCGGAGCCCUUGGCAUUGGACCUGGGCAGGGGGACUUGCCAUCGGUGGGCACACCAAGCCCUUCACGGAGAUGGCCUCGGACUGCUGGUACGUUUCAGAAAAGCCUCAAUAAGUUCAGGGAAAUGCUCGCUGCUGGAAAACCUGGAGGAGGUGAACUCUGGCCGUGCUUCCUUCCCUCCAGGAGGAGGCUGGCGCUCUCCGGGAUGGACUUCUCUGCCUCCGCCGUCCAUCUGCCUCCCUGGUCCCUGGUCAUCCCCCGACUUCUGAUCUCUCUCCCCAACCUUUUCCUCCGACGCCGGGUUUUCCGCCUUCUCGGGCCUGUUCCGUCUCCUGCCUGCUGCCAGCGGCUUCCUCGCCUCCGGAUAGAUUCCCAUUCCCCUUCUCUCGUGACCUCAGACAGGCCUGCAGGUCAGUCUGGGAGAGUUUGAGGUUUUAGUUGUGGUUUAAUGUCGGGUGAGGGAAGAACGCAUAUAUGCACAAGUGAACUAUUUCCUGCAAACGUGCGCAAUCAGAAAACAGCUACGGGGAGGACCCUGGGACGUGUCGCAUGUUUGCAGGGACAUUGAGACAUCACUAACGUGAGUCCCGGGUGCCAUGCGGGAUGCCCAAGUUACCGUCUCAUCACCGUCCCACUGUUUCCCAGAGCGGGUCCGGAGCACGGAACUCCUUCUUCUGGAACGCUUCUUCAGAGCCCGUGGCCUCCCUCCAGCGGUGCGUUGGGCACAGGCACUACUUGCCUCUUCCUUGGGGGCUGUAUUCAUGUUAGACACAGUGUCUGACGCCUUGCUUUCUGCAAAUCCUCUUACCUCUGCCCUUGGGUCACUGGACACAGGGAUUGUCAAAACGGAUGCCCUGUCCCUGGUUCCCGCUGCACUUAUCUGUGCUUUUGUUGGAGCCGCUGAGCAAGUCCCUCGGAGGCUGUCUUCCUCUGACCUCCCAGCCAUCCAAACUUUGGACGAGGUCUGCAGUGACCACGUGAUGCACGGACAGUAUUUGUGGGCCUCUCUCGUUUUCAUCUAUUCCAUUAAAGGAGCUGAAGGCUCAGCCGGCAAACCUCUACCAAAUUCUCAACUAAAAAGCGCAGAGCGUUUUACUGUAAUUAAGCUCGUGUUUGUUAUCAUGACUCAUAAUCCAGAAGCAGAUGGCUGCUUCUCCCUCUCAGUGCCACCUGCCGCCUCAGGACACAACGGCACCGCUGGGGCCAGCUGGGAUCCCUCCCCGUUUACUGCAACUAGAGUGUGUAUCCCAGGGCCACUUUGUCCUUGCCUCUGAGGUCUGUUAAGACCCCUCACACACACUCCCAGCCUCGCUCUCAGAGUCAAAGACACUCUUUCUUCCUCUAAAAUUAACUGCACUCCCAUCCCCCGACUCAAGGAAUGCCGCUAGCUCUCACAACAGCUAAAACCUCACUUAGUUCAGAGUACAGGUGCCCGGGCGUAGGGUUAUUACUCUUGUAGCGUUCAAGGCAGUCAGGCCCAUGGAGGCCAAGGAGCUCUAUGACGUAACAAGGUGAAUCUCAGUUUGUGUGUGUGGGGGGGGAACAAAACAAAACAAAAAAAUAGAAGCCCGUCCUCGUGGACUGAAUUGCAUUCCUUCAUACACCGGAUGUUGAGGCCCUCACUUCUAAGUGGGUGUUUUUGGAGAAAGGAGGCUUUGAAGAGGUAACCAGCGCUGAGUCAGGUUGUCAGGGCGGGGGCCUGAUCCACCAGGACUGCUGUGCUUAGAAGAGGAGGAAGCGACACCAACCGUGUCCACACCGAGAAAAGGCCAGGUGAGGACGCGGUGCGAAGGCGGCUGCCUAAGGGAUGUAGGGCCUCUGUGCCAGGGACAGAUCUGAUGACCGUGUGUGCAUUUCUGAAAUGCUACUUCACCGUUUUCAUCGUGUUUAAUGUUUUUACCUCCGCUUGAAUCUUUCAAUGAUUUAAGCUCUUGCAAAUUACGUAAGUCCUUAAAAAGACCCCGCAAGUGAACUGGCAGUUUGCUAGGCUGGGGUGAGCCCUUCGGUGUGGUACCAGGGAGUGGCUGCAGGAUGGCAGCUCCCUGCGAUGGAGACCUAGCUCCCUUGCCAGCCAUGGGAGGUCUCGCCCAUCUCUCAACCUAAGUUUUCGUUUCUCAUUUGUGAAAUAGGUAUAUUAUGGUAUCCACCUCAAAGGCUGCCGGAAAGACAAACUUUAAUUAUUAUUAAUUAUCUUAACUAAUUAUGAUUAAUUACAUUAACUACAAAUGCAUGAAUUACUAAUUAUUAUUCUAUUAUUAAUGGACAAAACACUGGAUCAUUUCCCAACCCUCAGUAAGUACUGUGUAGCAUUAGAAUAAAAAAAAAGUCCCCAGCGUGAAUGUCACAUGGGACUGUGGCUAAAGCUUAGCGCCGCGCUCCCGGGGCGGAGGCAGCGCUGAGGAUGGAGGACCUGGGCAGGCUCCCUGUCCUCCCAGGGGCUCAGCGGCAGCCGCGGGGCUCGCCCGCAUCACUCGGGUGCCAGUGUAACUUCCCUCCCGUCUCACAUCUGGGUUGGGGGGUGAAGGGCGAUUCUCUCUCAAAAUAGGGGGACAGUCCUUCCUCUGGGCUGAAUGAGGCCAAGCAGAGGACCAGGUCAGCAUGUAGGGCUGGGGACGAAAGGCAGAGCCCCCGGUUUCAGUCACCGUUGCUGCGUCUAGACUUUGUCCCUCCUGCUUUGCCGGACUGGCCUUAAUCUCAACCCUCAGAUGAAGAAGACGAAGGGAAAUGAAAAGAGAAGAAGAGAAGGAGAUUAAAGAAAAGGUGGCAUGGGACCCCUUGUUGUUUUUCGGAACAGCGGGUCUGAGCAGGGGUUGGCACCCAUCGGCCUCCCCCAAAGAACCUUCUGGAAGAACGCGGUUCCUUGGGGGGAACGAGGGGAAGGCAGCCUCAGGAGCCCUGCCCCCACCUUCCUCCCCAAGUCUCUUCUCUGAAUCCCAGUAAAGACUCAAAAACAUCACUGCAAGUCAACAAAUUCUCUGCCUGCAUAAGAAGCCGCGUUUCGCAGUUGAGCCCUGGGUCCAGUAGGGUCUGUGUGAAGCUCCUGAAAGCACCCAAGGACGUGGCCGGCCUCGGCUCCUCCCUGGGGAAAUGGGACCAGGCCCAGGCGACAUCUCCAGGGCCUACUGCAAGCACUGCGUUCUUCGGAAGCACCCAGGAGAGGGCCGUUUCAUGCCCAAAUCGAAGGCAGGCGGCCUGGCGUGUUACACCUGAACUGAUUCACACGGUGAGGGUCUGUGAACUCCCUGUGCCAGUUUUCUGAUUGGCUCUCUACAGCUCCUAAAUUAACCCCCGAAGAGCUAUUAGCCUCCUCAUUCCUGGGCUGCUGAAGGCAUCAGAUCUCUUCAUGUCUAAUUAUAGCAACACGAAGUCCAUCUGCGAAUGAGAUUCGUCAUAUAAAGUGUAUCAAAGUCAUGGCCAAGGGCUGCGGGGCACAUCCAUUUGCUUCCAUGAGUUUUAACAUUCAUGGGAUUAUUAGGUUAAAUUCAGCGCCAUGAACAAAGAACUGUCAUCAAACAGGCACCAACAAUUUACGUAAGGAAAAAGUUUCCAUUAUAAGAGACACUAAAUGUAUACAUUAAACUAGAAUCGCUGCGAAGAGAAAUCUUGUUAGUCAAGAACUAGCGCAUCCAGCUCAAGGCAAGUCACACUCUGGCUGGUCACCCAAGUGUGUGAGGGUGACUUUGUGAGCCUCUCAUCUUUGCUGGGGAUUAUUGCGAACGGCACGAAAGACCGUUUCUGUCUCAAGAUCAUGAACAAUAACAUCUGUUAUUCAUCCAUCAUCACAAUGAAACCUUUGUUUUCCGAAGAUGAAACGCCAAGAGAAAUGAUACUACAAUAGGUACAAUUUGUCUGCAGGCGAAAUUAUUUCCAGUCAAAUCAGCCACGGACAAAAAUUAUCUUGGCAAUAGAUCAGAAGGAAUUAUUUGCACAGUUAGGAGCAAAAUGCAAAAAUAACUUCUAAAAAUACACUCUUCUCUGCGUGCCUACCUUAUAUUAUUUUUCAAACGUAAUUGGAAUGAACAAAAUUGGGGUCCAGAGGAGUGGAAAUGCCUCUCUCAUUCACAGGUGCUCUUUCUCUCUUGGUUGGCUGCGAUUGCCAUCACACAAUAGCUCAGGGUGGUUGGCUUAAAUAACAGGCAUUUAUUUUCUUGCAGUUCUGCAAGCUUCAGGUCCAAGAUCAAGGUGCUGGCAGAUUUCAUUUCUCCUGAGGCCUUUCUCUUUGUCUUGCAGAUGGUAGCCUUUUGGCUGUGUCCUUACCUGGACUUUCCUCUAGGCGUGUGCAUCCUUGGUCCCGUUGUGUGUCCAGUCUCUUCUUUACAAAUUGUUUUUUAUUGAAAUAUAGUAGAUUUCCAAUGUUGUGCCACUUUCUGCCACAUGGCAAAGUGACCCGGAGUCCCUCUUACAAGGACACCCAUCCGAUUGGACUACGACCUUGUUUCAACAUAGUCACCUCUUUAAAGGCCCUGUCUUCAAAUACGGACAUCUUCUGAGGCAUUGGGGGUUAGAGGGUACUUCCACUUGUUACUUUUGGGAACACACAAUUCAGCCCACCACUCUGUCCUUCGUCCGUAUAUCUAUCCGUGUAUGGAUUCAUCCAUCUGCUAGUUUUUAAACCUAUAACUUUUAAAGUUGGAUACCUGUAAGAGGGAGAGUGGUUUUGAAAAUAAAAUGGGAGUUCCCGUCAUGGCGCAGUGGUUAACGAAUCCGACUAGGAACCAUGAGGUUGCGGGUUUGAUCCCUGCCCUUGCUCAGUGGGUUAACGAUCCGUCGUUGCCGUGAGCUGUGGUGUAGGUUGCAGACGCGGCUCGGAUCCCGAGUUGCUGUGGCUCUGGCGUAGGCCAGUGGCUACAGCUCUGAUUUGACCCCUAGCCUGGGAACCUCCAUAUGCCGCGGGAGCGGCCCAAAGAAAU
RNAcentral lists this long non-coding RNA (5116 nucleotides) under Sus scrofa (pig). RNAcentral describes it as "lncRNA (ENSSSCG00000060755.1)". The record is from RNAcentral. Lineage: Eukaryota; Metazoa; Chordata; Mammalia; Artiodactyla; Suidae.